CUGCUGGCGAGUGGCGCACGGGUGCGUAACGCGUAUACAAUCUACCUAUUACAGGGGUAUAGCCUUUAGAAAUGAAGAAUAAUCCCCCAUAGUAUUUAUAAGUUGCAUGAUUUAUAGAUUAAAGUUUCGGCGGUAAUAGAUGAGUAUGCGUUCUAUUAGCUAGUAGGUAAGGUAACGGCUUACCUAGGCGACGAUAGAUAGGGGCCCUGAGAGGGGGAUCCCCCACACUGGUACUGAGACACGGACCAGACUCCUACGGGAGGCAGCAGUGAGGAAUAUUGGACAAUGGGCGCGAGCCUGAUCCAGCCAUGCCGCGUGCAGGAAGACUGCCCUAUGGGUUGUAAACUGCUUUUAUACAGGAAGAAACCCAAGUACGUGUACUUGGCUGACGGUACUGUAAGAAUAAGCAUCGGCUAACUCCGUGCCAGCAGCCGCGGUAAUACGGAGGAUGCAAGCGUUAUCCGGAAUCAUUGGGUUUAAAGGGUCCGUAGGUUGAUUAAUAAGUCAGAGGUGAAAGCCUGCCGCUCAACGGUAGAACUGCCUUUGAUACUGUUAGUCUUGAAUUAUGGUGAAGUGGUUAGAAUAUGUAGUGUAGCGGUGAAAUGCAUAGAUAUUACAUAGAAUACCAAUUGCGAAGGCAGAUCACUAACCAUAUAUUGACACUGAUGGACGAAAGCGUGGGUAGCGAACGGGAUUAGAUACCCCGGUAGUCCACGCCGUAAACGAUGGAUACUAGCUGUUGGGAUUUCGAUCUCAGUGGUUAAGCGAAAGUAAUAAGUAUCCCACCUGGGGAGUACGUUCGCAAGAAUGAAACUCAAAGGAAUUGACGGGGGCCCGCACAAGCGGUGGAGCAUGUGGUUUAAUUCGAUGAUACGCGAGGAACCUUACCAGGGCUUAAAUG
RNAcentral lists this ribosomal RNA (901 nucleotides) under uncultured bacterium. RNAcentral describes it as "bacterial SSU rRNA". It matches the Rfam family "Bacterial small subunit ribosomal RNA", at positions 85 to 987 of the family's 1533-position model. The record is from RNAcentral.